This 788-nucleotide long non-coding RNA is filed under the name Homo sapiens (human). RNAcentral describes it as "HSALNT0208321". The record is from RNAcentral. Lineage: Eukaryota; Metazoa; Chordata; Mammalia; Primates; Hominidae.
AUUUUUUAUAACCUUCCUUACUAAAAAUUCUGCUUUACCUUUUUUUAACUUUAAAUGAGGUUUCAAUGUUUACAUUUUAGUUUGAUUAUAAACAAUGAGUCUUAUCUCAGCACCAGCAGCUUAGUAACAGCAGAUUUAAAGCAGGUAGAAAAACAGAGGCAGAAAACUUUCAAAGACUUAACUCUAUAGUGCAGGUUAACCAUUUGAGCUUUGAGUUUUCCUGUUAUAGUUUGCCAAUCAGUUUGAAAUGUGCACAAAAAGAGGCUGUAAUAGGUAACCAGCUAGAGUUUUAAAGAGAACAACAAAAUCAGGGGUUAGGAUGUCAGAAUCUGCCUUCUCCUUUUUAAUGCUGGACCCCUGGAUUGAACAGGAAAAAAAGAAAAAAAGAAAAGAGAGGAGUGGAGAGGAGAAGGUUAAGCUUUAUAGGAUGGCUUGUGAGCCUUCCAGCCACUGCACAUUGUAGUUCAGGGCUAGCACCCCUCCCACCCUUGUUUUUCUUCCAUCAGAGAGAGCCUUAGCACCCUAGACUGCAAAGUGUGGGAUGAAUUCUUCCCACCUCCGCAAGUCACGAGUUAAGGUGAGCUGUUUUCAAAGAUGAGAGCCCAUUCAGCUGAAAGCCAUUGAGGGUUGGGAUUCUUUCGUGGGGGCCCUUUGGCUUUCAGGGCAGUUCCAUUUCCAGUGGCCAAGCAUGUAGCCAAGCAGGCAAGCUGUGUGAGGUUUUUCCCCAUUAAUCUCAUUGAGGCAGUUUGUCUUUUAGUGGCCUGGCCCUCUGCACCAGUGGCAGUUAU